This 363-nucleotide ribosomal RNA is filed under the name Triticum aestivum (bread wheat). Its description in RNAcentral is "partial small subunit ribosomal RNA". Lineage: Eukaryota; Viridiplantae; Streptophyta; Magnoliopsida; Poales; Poaceae. The record is from RNAcentral.
AUGAUGGCAACAUAUAGCAGAGCUUCGCACCGCUCCCUCUUGAACGGAAAACCAGUGGGCACAAUCGAAUCACACCCGGACCAGGAAUCUCCAGGCAUAACGCGCCCAUGGGAGUUCGCUGGCGGAGACUUUCGAAACUUGACACUCCAACCAGAUCAAGGAGGACAGGCAUCAGGCAGAUCUUCAUCUUGUCACUUGAGGUACCCAAGGAUUGCCGCCUUCAUUCAGGCUGAGCCCGCAGCGCCCACGCCAUCGGUUGGCACCCUGCAUAAUCUGCCAUACCAUAUAGACCAGCGACCAUGGGUCAGCAGCUGGACAGGCGGCGACAGCGCAGGGGCGACACUCCACCGGAUCCGUCCCUAA